Molecule: ribosomal RNA, 472 nt
Filed under: uncultured bacterium
Lineage: Bacteria
Description: SSU rRNA
Rfam family: Bacterial small subunit ribosomal RNA
Source: RNAcentral
AGGAUGAACGCUGGCGGCGUGCUUAACACAUGCAAGUCGAACGAUGAACCCACUUGUGGGGGAUUAGUGGCGAACGGGUGAGUAACACGUGAGUAACCUGCCCUUAACUCUGGGAUAAGCCUUGGAAACGGGGUCUAAUACCGGAUAUUUACUUCCUGUCGCAUGGUGGGUUGUGGAAAGAUUUAUUGGUUUUGGAUGGACUCGCGGCCUAUCAGCUUGUUGGUGAGGUAAUGGCUUACCAAGGCGACGACGGGUAGCCGGCCUGAGAGGGUGACCGGCCACACUGGGACUGAGACACGGCCCAGACUCCUACGGGAGGCAGCAGUGGGGAAUAUUGCGCAAUGGGCGAAAGCCUGACGCAGCGACGCCGCGUGUGGGAUGACGGCCUUCGGGUUGUAACCACUGUCGCGAGGGACGAAGAUCUGACGGUACCUCGAAAGGAAGCACCGGCUAACUCUGUGCCAGCAGCCGC